AGGCGGGGGCUCCGGGUCCCCACCCCCGGCUGUGAGUGCCCACACGGAGCCCCGAGGAGCUGAGAGCCCCCAAGAAGGCUGUUUCUGGGUGUGAGCACCGCUGCCCGAGUGUGCGGAAAAGGGGAGUUGCUUCCUGGAGGCGCCGUGGAGCUGGGGAGUUGGGGUUUGGGGUGGGGAGGGCGGGAAGCGGCGGGGGAGAAGCGGAGUCCCGGGAGAGAAAGGAGGCAUCCAGCGCCUCGGGAGAAGAGUCCUGGAGCGCGAGGCGGGGGGAGGCUGCAGCCCCUGGUGCAGGCCAGAGGUGAGUGUCGAGGCGGGGCGGGGGGGGGGGG
Molecule: long non-coding RNA, 329 nt
Filed under: Marmota monax (woodchuck)
Lineage: Eukaryota; Metazoa; Chordata; Mammalia; Rodentia; Sciuridae
Source: RNAcentral